This 372-nucleotide ribosomal RNA is filed under the name uncultured organism. Its description in RNAcentral is "bacterial SSU rRNA". It matches the Rfam family "Bacterial small subunit ribosomal RNA", at positions 525 to 896 of the family's 1533-position model. The record is from RNAcentral.
CAGGAGGGUGCGAGCGUUAAUCGGAAUUACUGGGCGUAAAGCGUGCGUAGACGGUUAUUUAAGUCGGGUGUGAAAGCCCCGGGCUCAACCUGGGAAUUGCAUUCGAGACUGAAUAGCUAGGGUACGGUAGAGGGAAGUGGAAUUUCCGGUGUAGCGGUGAAAUGCGUAGAUAUCGGAAGGAACAUCAGUGGCGAAAGCGACUUCCUGGACCAGUACCGACGUUCAGGCACGAAAGCGUGGGGAGCAAACAGGAUUAGAUACCCUGGUAGUCCACGCCAUAAACGAUGAGGACUAGACGUUGGAGGGGUAAGCCUUUCAGUGUCGUAGCUAACGCGCUAAGUCCUCCGCCUGGGGAGUACGGCCGCAAGGUUG